RNAcentral lists this ribosomal RNA (465 nucleotides) under uncultured bacterium. Its description in RNAcentral is "partial 16S ribosomal RNA". It matches the Rfam family "Bacterial small subunit ribosomal RNA", at positions 338 to 795 of the family's 1533-position model. The record is from RNAcentral.
CCUACGGGAGGCAGCAGUGGGGAAUAUUGCGCAAUGGGCGAAAGCCUGACGCAGCGACGCCGCGUGAAGGAUGAAGGUCUUCGGAUCGUAAACCUCUGUCAGCAGGGAAGAACGGUCACUGUGCUAAUCAGCAGUGAAUUGACGGUACCUGCAAAGGAAGCACCGGCUAACUCCGUGCCAGCAGCCGCGGUAAUACGGAGGUUGCGAGCGUUAAUCGUAAUUAAUGGGCGUAAAGCGCUCGUAGGCGGUAUGUCAAGUCAAGGGUGAAAUCCCCGCGCUCAACGUGGGAACUGCCUUUGAAACUGGCAAACUGGAGUGUGUUAGAGGAUAGUGGAAUUCCAGGUGUAGGAGUGAAAUCCGUAGAUAUCUGGAAGAACAUCAGUGGCGAAGGCGACUAUCUGGCACAUAACUGACGCUGAGGAGCGAAAGCGUGGGUAGCAAACAGGAUUAGAUACCCUUGUAGUC